CCUACGGGUGGCAGCAGUGAGGAAUAUUGGUCAAUGGACGAGAGUCUGAACCAGCCAAGUAGCGUGAAGGAUGACUGCCCUAUGGGUUGUAAACUUCUUUUGUACAAGGGUAAACCUGAAUACGGGUAUUCAGCUGAAAGUAAUGUACGAAUAAGGAUCGGCUAACUCCGUGCCAGCAGCCGCGGUAAUACGGAGGAGCCAAGCGUUAUCCGGAUUUAGUGGGUUUAAAGGGUGCGUAGGCGGAUUGAUAAGUUAGAGGUGAAAUGUCCGAGCUUAACUCGGGAACUGCCUCUAAUACUGUUGAUCUAGAGAUUAGAUGCGGUAGGCGGAAUGUAUGGUGUAGCGGUGAAAUGCUUAGAGAUCAUACAGAACACCGAUUGCGAAGGCAGCUUACCAAUCUAUAUCUGACGUUGAGGCACGAAAGCGUGGGGAGCAAACAGGAUUAGAUACCCUAGUAGUC
Molecule: ribosomal RNA, 460 nt
Filed under: uncultured bacterium
Lineage: Bacteria
Description: partial 16S ribosomal RNA
Rfam family: Bacterial small subunit ribosomal RNA
Source: RNAcentral